This is a non-coding RNA of Otolemur garnettii (small-eared galago), 83 nucleotides long. The record is from Rfam. Lineage: Eukaryota; Metazoa; Chordata; Mammalia; Primates; Galagidae.
UAAAGUAACAUCUAAUUGCUGUCCUGCUUGAUGAAAGUACAUUUGAACACUCUUCUAUCUGACAACUGAAAAUAAGUAACAUU